This is a long non-coding RNA of Cyprinus carpio carpio, 4244 nucleotides long. The record is from Ensembl. NCBI's taxonomy places the organism in Eukaryota, Metazoa, Chordata, Actinopteri, Cypriniformes, Cyprinidae.
CUUGUUGAGCGGCCCCAUCGUUGGAGGACGAGACGAGUGGGUGAGCCGAAGUAGAGCGUGGGUGAAUGGAUGUUAUUUGGCUGUGGCCACACCGUAAAGUUUGGAACACUUACCGUGACAGCGACUGCAAAUUCCUCCAGGACGAAAUCCGACCGGGUGUGGAGUACCGACCUUAAAAAUCACUGAAGUGUGUGUAGUGCAGUGGGUGAGUCUGUCUUUGACGUGUGUGCACUAAAGCUUUGCAGUGCUGUGCCGUGUCCCUGUUGUCUGUACUUGCCCUCCAGGCCGAGAAAGGUUCCUGUUGGAAAGAACGUAGGCUGCCGUGGCGGUGCCCACCUAUUCCACCUACGCCCGCCUAUAACUCCGUUCUCUGGACCCAGCUUGAAGGGAUUUGUGUGUCGCCUUAUACUUACCUAGGAGGUCAAUGGGAGUGGAGGAGCUGUCCAGACGCUGGAGAAGAGAAGGGCGCCACGGGAAAUCAAGCCGCUAAGGAAGGACUUAGGAUUAGUCAGGAGACUGGUAGAAGUUCUGGGAAAGGACGAAAGAGCCCUUUGCCCCCCCCUCCCCUUGUGAUUACUUACCAAAGACCUCCAGAGUUCUCAGGCUCAGUUCCCUCCUGCCAAGAGACGAAGAUCAAAAUUUUAGAUUCCCCUUUUCUCCUUUCCUAGAUUACCUUUUUAAAUAAUUUAAAUAAAGUUGUUUUAAAUUACCCUUAACUUAUCUUGUGUGUCUGGUCCUUGGGGUGAUCUUGGGACCUCCUCGAGGUGGAAGUCGGGAAGGGGCGUGACUCGCAACACCUGUGGUCCGCUCCGACCUGUGACAAUAUGACAACUAUUUUCAUAUACACUACACUUAAAUGUUUGGAUUCAGUAAAGUUUUUAAAGCAAGAAAUACUUUGUAUUGAGCAAGGAUGCAUUAAAUUUGAUUAUUUUUUUAUUUAUUUUGAUCAUUCAUUUUUAAUGUUAUAAAAGAUCCCCAUUUCAAAUUAAUGUUGUUGUUUUGACAUUUCUAUUCAUCAAAGAAAAAAAAUGUAUUACUGAAGAUUGCUGAAAAGCCAGCUUUGAAAUCAUAGGAAUAAAUUAAAUUAUUAAAUAUAUUAAAACAGAAGUGAUAUAAAUUGUAAUAAUAUUUCACAGCAAUACUGUUUUACUGUACGUUUGAUUAAAUGCAGCCUUGGUGAACAUAUGCAACUUGUUUAAAAAAAAUAAAAAAUCUUAUCAUCCUCAAAUGUUAAUUCAAUUCUAAACAGUUUACAAAACUGCAAAGCACAAAUUUCUCUUGAGCUACAUAAAUUAUAUUAACUACUUGGCCUACAAUAAUUUAUUACAGAGUAUAUGCAACGUAAACAGACAUCAGAACAUCAAUUAUGUAUAUGGUGAACCACUGUAAUAAAUAAAUGACCAAGAGUCAAACUGUUUGUUCUACUUAAAUUUCUCACACAUGCUCAAAUCUUCCUGUUAGAACAUCUACUACAUUUCCUGUUCACACAGCCACAGAAUCACCUGCUAAAUUCUUCCCUUUUUUGCCUCUAAUACUCUCCUGUUGGGCCACUGUGGCUAAAGUUGCACUGUCGCCUGUGGUACUGAAGAUUUUAGCUUCCCAACCAUUAACAUUUCAGCUGGUCAGGGACCAUGUAAUAGCUGCAGGCAAAGAGUUCUGGGUAAGGAACAUGAUUCUUUAGCAGUAUGGCCAUGAUUGUUUUUACAACUCUCAUUACUUUGGACAAAGUAUAGCUACUAGUCAUACAGUUUGCAGAAAAAAGGCUGAAACUCAGGUUAUAAGAAUUGUAGACCAUUAUCACUUAAUACAAUCUCUGGGGAAAACAUCCUUCAGUUGCCUGGAUUACACCAUCAGCUGUGGUGAUGCACCUAAAGUAAUAGUCAAUGAUCACAAAAGGCUGCACCCUUUUAAGGAUGACAACAUUACCCUAUCUAAAAAUCAUCUUACAUUCAAAACAUUCUGCUUCUAUCAUCCAGAACACUUUGUGACCUACAAAGAGAUCUUCAGAAAGAGCAGAUGAGCACGUCUUGUUUAGAGUCUGAUUUGUUUUCCAAAGUCAUGACAGGACCAGUGUAAGCCGCUCAUCAUGUUGAGCUUUAUCUUUCUACACACUAACAAAUCAUCCGCAUGGUAGAUCACCCAAAGCUGAUGACAAAGGGUAGGAGCAGAGCCAAAUGGUGUGAUAAACAUUCAACAUACUCUCAUGCCAGAAUAAUGUGCAUCUAACUUUGAAAAAAAAAAAAAAAAUAGCCAGUAAUUGUGCUAUUGAUGAUAAUAUAUGCAGCUCAUAUAGUAAGAUCAGUUAGAUCAGAGCAUAAUCUUAUUUUUCCAUAAACCUGCAAACCAUUCUGUUGGCUAUUCUAUCCUUUAAAUUGCUCUCAUUUGUUCUGUAAGCUAUAGUUCCUCCUUACAUUUUCCCCAGUGGAAUUAGCACUCUGCAGAGAGUUGUGACUGCAUGACACAGCAUCAGCAAAUUCUGUAGCCACAUUCCAAUUUUCUAUAUCCAGUAAAUGUGUUGGGGUUUCAACAUUAAUAAUACUGGGGUAUUUAUAUAAAAAAAAUAAUAAUAAUAAUAAAAAAAUUCUUCUUGAUUCAUUUAAUCUUGACUCCUUAACUUAAAAAAAAAAACAGCUAGCACAAUGCAUAGCUACAUGCUAAAUAUAAUUUUUUUUUUUUUUUUUUAACUAAAUGUAAUGUAUGGGAGAAGCAAAUACGAAGAUACAGGCCACUAUAACCUGCCAUUAUUAAAGCUGUUACUCACCAUUGAAACAACAUAGUCAUCACAUACAGUAGCCACCCACAACCUAAGCACAGACUACACUCUUCAACACAAUGACAAAAACUCCAAGAUAACAGAACCUCUUAUAAAUCUCCAACACAACUGAACAUAAAACUCUAACAACUUCUAACUUCUAACUUUCGACUUUCCCUUUACUAAAACAACACUUUCAACAUUUACUCUUCCACUCCAGGCACAUGCAAAGCAUCCUGGGAACUAAAAGCAAAAAUGCCAGAAAAAACGAUUCAUGUAGUCACAACACAAAAGGAUUAGGUCAACUUCCAUUUCAAAAAUUUAAGUGGAUUGGACAUAAUAGCAUGUUCAAGAACUGUGUUGCUUUAGCUUGUGUUAAUAAAUUAAACAAGCAGCAACGCUCAUGUUUUUGAGUGCAAAAGAAACCUGGUACUUUAGAAAAAAAUGUCAACUUCUCUUCAGCAAAAUUUACUACAGUAUAUCUAUCAAAUACUGCACGGCCCAAUAGGCGCUAAAGAACUGAACAAAGACGUGUUGACUGAUUGUGCAGCUUUUGCUUUACUUGUCCUUCUAGUAGCAGAGUAAUACUGGAGCCAUAAAGUUUCUUUUUUGCCAUCAGAGUCCCAUUCAUCCUACAUUCAAAUAGCUUUGUGGGAAUAGCUGCGACUGCAGUGCUUAUAUCUAUUUUGAAAAAGAUAAUGUCCCCAUUUAGUGUUAUAUAAGUGUGCCAUCUUGAGUUUAUGCAUUAUUUUUAUUUAUUUUUUUCUCGUCUGUGGGCAUGAGACUGCAUUAACAUCAGUCUUUUCAUCAGUCUGUAGAGAAGUGCUCCACCAAAGCCUGCUGCUGUUUCACUGUCUCACUCUAUUACACUUGACUGAUGCUUCAGUUUAACAUUAAAUCUGGGUACUUUUGGUUUUUUUUAUUUUUUUUUUAUUUUUUUAUUUUUUGUAAGUGCCACGUCUAUUAUUUCAAAUGACAAUGAGAUCACGGAUUUAAGAAAUCCUAAGUGAAUUUAUGAAGUUAUCUACUGACUCUCCAUGUUCUUGUUUAUGCCCAUUAAACUUGGACCUCUCAAAUAUGACAUUAUACCUUCUAAUAAAAUGUUCAUCAACAACAAUAGUACAUAAGAAAAUUAACCUGGAAUGCAUCAUCUCUCUUGUUCACUCUUGAUGUGACACAGCACCUUUCGAAGCGUCUGAUUCAUCUUGGCAACUGUCUGCCAUCUGUGCAGUCAAACUUGUCGGGAGCAUCAAUGUGAAAACAUUAAUGUGUACACGUCUCAUCUAAAAACAUAAAACAAAUGCAUCUAAUAAUGUUAUACUUUAUAUGUAAUUAACUUAAACUUCCUGGAUGUCACAUUAUUUGAUUAUACAGGACCACUUCUGACACAGCAUAUUCUAUUGUUCAAAAGUGGCAUCAGUUAGAACUGUAUUUUAUUUUAUUUUAUUUUAUUUUAUUUUAUUUUAUUUUAUUUUAUUUUAUUUUAUUUUAU